This is a long non-coding RNA of Drosophila miranda, 1114 nucleotides long. RefSeq lists it as uncharacterized. The record is from RefSeq and is a predicted model, not a curated record. The transcript is spliced from 3 exons. Lineage: Eukaryota; Metazoa; Arthropoda; Insecta; Diptera; Drosophilidae.
ACAGUCGUAGAUCAGUUUCCAUUUCACUGUUGACACAAUCGGCAGCGGCUCUGGCUCUGCCUCUGGUUCUGGCAUCUCCUAUGGCUCCUGAAUGAUGCUCAGGAAACAAUCGAAACCGAGACACCUCUCACAGAACAAGACAAAAUACAUAAUUCGGAACAAGAUCUUCGCCCUGGGCUCCCCCGAAGAGAGGGGAGAACACGAACACAUACUUUGGGAUUGUGCCGCGAGAGGGCCCUGAGACAAUGGUUAUUAAUCAGUUGCCGAUAAUGCCAGACAAGAGUCUUGAAUAAAAACUCACAGACCCCAGAUGGAGCAGGCGAAGAGGAGAGGUGUGUGUGUGUGCACUGUGCCCCGAAGAUGUGUCACAGUCACACUUUUGUUGUUAAUUGAACGUGGCAUGCAUCCCCAUACCCAUACCCAUACCUAUACCCAUGCCCCUGCUCUUGCCCCCUGCUCAAGUGGCAUCCGCACUAAUGCCGGAUUCAUGCUAAGUGGUAUGGCGAACGAUCUUCUGGUUGGUAAAUUGACAAGUGUCUGAAUCACGCUGCAGCAGCCACUGGGGAUGACAUAUGGCGGCAGGGAGAGCCAGCGACACGCAGCCGACAAUCGAUUAAUCAGCGAAAAAUAAUAAGAAACAUGUUCACCCCCCCAACACCGCCCCCUCCUUCUCCUUCUCCGCCCUGUCCUCCGGGGAGAUGCAACUGCAACGGAGUCGCAGAGUCGGAAUCUGUGAAUGCGGAACUGAUGUCGCCCUGGCACACUCAAAAAAUGGGCAACUUCAACAUUUCGGGCAGUCAAAUAAAUAAGCAACAACAAACCCCAUUCGGUGGGGGAAUGGUACAGAAUAAUAUAAUUCUAAGAUGAAUAAAAGUUGGUGUUUGAGUUGUCUUUUCUUUUGGGGCCCCACACACACUCACACACUCACACACUCACACGCACAAUUGUCAAUAAUGAUGGAGGAAAGCCGAAAAACUGGAUAAGAAAAUCGCCGACCCUCGAAAUGAAGACAACAAAAGCGAACGAGAAUGAGGGAAAAAUGUCAGAGCCAAGAACCCAAAUGAGUGACCAAAACUCAUUACAACGAAACUUCAAAUUGCCCAAAUUAAUCUAA